GACGAACGCUGGCGGCGUGCUUAACACAUGCAAGUCGAGCGGUAAGGCCCUUUCGGGGGUACGACGAGCGGCGAACGGGUGAGUAACACGUGGGUGACCUGCCUUCAGCUCUGGGAUAAGCCUGGGAAACUGGGUCUAAUACUGGAUAUUACUCUGCGGUGCAUGCCGUGGGGUGGAAAGCCUUGUGCGGCUGGGGAUGGGCCCGCGGCCUAUCAGCUUGUUGGUGGGGUGAUGGCCUACCAAGGCGACGACGGGUAGCCGGCCUGAGAGGGCGACCGGCCACACUGGGACUGAGACACGGCCCAGACUCCUACGGGAGGCAGCAGUGGGGAAUCUUGCGCAAUGGGCGAAAGCCUGACGCAGCGACGCCGCGUGAGGGAUGACGGCCUGG
RNAcentral lists this ribosomal RNA (391 nucleotides) under uncultured bacterium. RNAcentral's name for it is "bacterial SSU rRNA". It matches the Rfam family "Bacterial small subunit ribosomal RNA", at positions 28 to 419 of the family's 1533-position model. The record is from RNAcentral.